GGUGCUGCAUGGUUGUCGUCAGCUCGUGCCGUGAGGUGUCGGGUUAAGUCCCAUAACGAGCGCAACCCUUAUCGUUAGUUGCCAUCUGGUAAUGCAGGGGACUCUAGCGAAACUGCCACCGUAAGGUGAGAGGAAGGUGGGGAUGACGUCAAAUCAGCACGGCCCUUAUGUCCAGGGCUACACACGUGUUACAAUGGUCGGUACAGAGGGCAGCUACCUGGUGACAGGAUGCUAAUCUCGAAAACCGGUCUCAGUUCGGAUCGAAGUCUGCAACUCGACUUCGUGAAGCUGGAUUCGCUAGUAAUCGCGCAUCAGCUAUGGCGCGGUGAAUACGUUCCCGGGCCUU
RNAcentral lists this ribosomal RNA (346 nucleotides) under uncultured Sphingobacteriales bacterium. RNAcentral's name for it is "bacterial SSU rRNA". It matches the Rfam family "Bacterial small subunit ribosomal RNA", at positions 1037 to 1382 of the family's 1533-position model. The record is from RNAcentral. Lineage: Bacteria; Pseudomonadati; Bacteroidota; Sphingobacteriia; Sphingobacteriales.